This is a regulatory RNA element of Niastella vici, 35 nucleotides long. It matches the Rfam family "DUF805b RNA". From Rfam's summary of the family: Bacteroidetes, Chlorobi (1 example), Proteobacteria. Lineage (Flavobacteria) Lineage: Bacteria; Pseudomonadati; Bacteroidota; Chitinophagia; Chitinophagales; Chitinophagaceae. The record is from Rfam.
UUAGGGGAUACCGAAAACCUAAAAAAGAGUAGGUA